GACGAACGCUGGCGGCGUGCUUAACACAUGCGAGUCGAACGGAAAGGCCCUGCUUUUGUGGGGUGCUCGAGUGGCGAACGGGUGGGUAACACGUGAGUAACCUGCCCUUGACUUUGGGAUAACUUCAGGAAACUGGGGCUAAUACCGGAUAGGAGCUCCUGCUGCAUGGUGGGGGUUGGAAAGUUUCGGCGGGUGGGGAUGGACUCGCGGCUUAUCAGCUUGUUGGUGGGGUAGUGGCUUACCAAGGCUUUGACGGGUAGCCGGCCUGGGAGGGUGACCGGCCACAUUGGGACUGAGAUACGGCCCAGACUCCUACGGGAGGCAGCAGUGGGGAAUAUUGCACAAUGGGCGGAAGCCUGAUGCAGCAACGCCGCGUGCGGGAUGACGGCCUUCGGGUUGUAAACCGCUUUCGCCUGUGACGAAGCGUGAGUGACGGUAAUGGGUAAAGAAGCACCGGCUAACUACGUG
RNAcentral lists this ribosomal RNA (468 nucleotides) under uncultured bacterium. RNAcentral describes it as "partial 16S ribosomal RNA". It matches the Rfam family "Bacterial small subunit ribosomal RNA", at positions 28 to 507 of the family's 1533-position model. The record is from RNAcentral.